This 905-nucleotide small RNA is filed under the name uncultured zygomycete. RNAcentral's name for it is "eukaryotic LSU rRNA". The stretch from base 621 to 905 matches the Rfam family "Eukaryotic large subunit ribosomal RNA", at positions 1 to 281 of the family's 3401-position model. Lineage: Eukaryota; Fungi. The record is from RNAcentral.
CUUGGUCAUUUAGAGGAAGUAAAAGUCGUAACAAGGUUUCCGUAGGUGAACCUGCGGAAGGAUCAUUCAUAAUAAGUGUUUUAUGGCACUUUUUAAAUCCAUAUCCACCUUGUGUGCAAUGUCAGUCGUUCUCUCUUUUGAGAAUGACCAAACAUCAACUUAUUCUUUAACUCUUUGUCUGAAAAAUAUUAUGAAUAAAAUAAUUCAAAAUACAACUUUCAACAACGGAUCUCUUGACUCUCGCAUCGAUGAAGAACGCAGCGAAAUGCGAUACGUAAUGUGAAUUGCAGAAUUCAGUGAAUCAUCGAAUCUUUGAACGCAUAUUGCGCUCUUUGGUAUUCCGAAGAGCAUGCUUGUUUGAGUAUCAGUAAACACCUCAAAGACUUUCAAUUUGUUUUGAAUGGCUUUGGACUUGAGCAAUCCCAACACCAGUCUUUACGAUCGGUGGAGGGUUGCUUGAAAUGCAGGUGCAGCUGGACAUUCUCCUGAGCUAAAAGCAUAUUUAUUUAGUCCCGUCAAACGGAUUAUUACUUUUGCUGCAGCUAACAUAAAGGGAGUUUGACCGUAUUGGCUGACUGAUGCAGGAUUUCACAAGGGUCGGCAACGAUUCUUGUAAAACUCGAUCUCAAAUCAAGUAAGACUACCCGCUGAACUUAAGCAUAUCAAUAAGCGGAGGAAAAGAAACUAACAAGGAUUCCCCUAGUAACGGCGAGUGAAGCGGGAUGAGCUCAAAUUUAAAAUCUGGCUGGUUUACUAGUCCGAAUUGUAGUUUAUAGAAGCGUUUUCGGUGGCAGCCUGGGUAUAAGUCCUUUGGAAUAGGGUAUCAUAGAGGGUGAGAAUCCCGUCUUUGACUCAGUGCAUGCUACUAUGUGAUACGUUUUCAAAGAGUCGAGUUGUUUGGGAAU